Long non-coding RNA from Oxyura jamaicensis (ruddy duck), 4798 nucleotides. RefSeq lists it as uncharacterized. The transcript is spliced from 2 exons. The record is from RefSeq and is a predicted model, not a curated record. Lineage: Eukaryota; Metazoa; Chordata; Aves; Anseriformes; Anatidae.
AGCAAUGCAAACAUUAUUACUGACAGGUAACAGAGGGUGGGCGCAGGUCAGGCCGUAGCAUCCAGGGAUAGUCACUAACAGUAGCUGUCAUAUUUAUCGCUGGCUUCUUUGGAGCCAGCGUUAGUAGUUGGAGACAGAGCACACAAAAGGACUAUUCAGUGCAAUCCAUGCUCUGAAAUAAAACAGAUGCGCUGUGGAAGUUUGCAAACUCCCCAGCACAGAAGGUUGGCAGAGCUCCGCUCCGUAACUAGGGCCCAUCUCCUUGGCAGCAUCGGGAGCCCUUCCACAGCCCUGGUGCCAGGGCUACUGCUCAUGCUGCUUAGAUGAAGGGCAGUCUAGAGGACAAAGCACUUAGCCUGGCAGUUAAAGGGAUGGAGAUCAAAACCAAGACUCAGAGCCCACCCGAGCAUUUAAACCCUUCCACCUAUUUUGGAUGGCAAGCUGGUAUUUCAGGAAUGAGUACAACCAAAGGCACCUGGUCUGGUUUUACGGACUGGAACACUUUUGGAAAGCAAUCAGAUACGAUUUGGACAAAAACAAUGGAGGCCCAGACACAGAGGCUGCCCUGGGAGAGUAUACCAGCUGUCUGCUCAGUUUCAAACCUCUAAUCAUGUUCUUGGAGAGAAAGCAAGGGGACCUGUUAGGGGCUGCUGAGCUCUGUGCUCGGGGCCAGGUCCAGACGGUGGAGCCAGCGAGCACGAGUCCUGCAGUGCAGAGGCAGCUCCAUCGCCUCGGACGUACAUUUCUGGCACCAGGACAGCAGCAAACAAGGCCGAGACUCUGAACAGACACUGAGGACUGGGAGAGAGGCAGAGGGAUGAAAAACGGUGGCGAGAGCAAAGAUGAAAUGCUGGAAGUCGGCAGGACAGCGGGAGGAAGCGUGGCACCUGCUGGCACCGGGCAGAGAGCUGCAGGUUGCAGGCUGUAGGGCCCGCCGUCAGCCAGCAUAAAGCAGCCCCACUUCUCGCUGACAGCCUGUGCCAAGGCACAACAGCUUCAAGGCCAUGCUCCAGCACUGAUGGUUUGAUCCCCUGUGUGCUGCCUGCAUGUCUGUGAUGUGCUGGAUGGAUAGCCAGGGAACCCAGACCAGUGGUACUGCCACAAUGCAAAGCAAGCCCUUGGAAAUAAAUGUGUAAAACUACCACCAUGCCCUCCUUCUACUCUUUAGAUCCUCUCCCCCACUUGUAAACUACCUGGCAGUGUUUGACGGCUGGCAGGCUGCAAAGCUUCUCCUUCACAACCCAUCAAGAGAAGCUGGGAUUCUCCCUGCUGAUUUACCUGGGCCUUGUCUCGCUGCGAGCUGUGACACGUGUCACACGACGACACCACACCACGGCUCACAUCCAUCCCAACAAGAUGCAGGCAAUUACUUGAGGCCCCUUGUUAAGAGUCUGAUCAUCUUGGGCUUGGCAGAAGAUCAGCAGUGCCUCCAAAGCUGAUUCUGCCCACCUCAUUGACACUAAGGAGAACUUUGUGUGAAUAACUUUGGUGCUAAACACCAAAAAUUAGGUGGGGUGAGGUAAUCCAGGCUAGCGCAUCUGUGGUUCCCUACAUAGGGCCUUUUGUUGCUGCCACUAAGGAGUAAAAUGCCAAACACGGCUCAUACCAAUUCCACCUCUCUGUAAUGUUUUGUCAGCUCACCGUACCCUUACAGAAACCCUCAGGUGCUGGCAGGCACCCUGCUUUCCAGUGAGGCCCAGUCAGACGUUGCAGCCUCACGAGCCUAUUCAGUCAAGUUAACGUGCCUCACGCUGUUGCUAGCUUUAAACACACGCACUUGAGAUCAGUUUUUCCAUUCAGAAGAUAACCUCUACAGUUCCCUCCCCUUCUGAUAAGCUUCAGAAGAAGAGAAAAUGAAGUCAUGUCCUCACCACCCCGUAUACAUGUGGCUUGCAUACCAGCUCCACAAGAGCUCCCGCACCAGGACACCCAUGCGGAGAUCUGGUGGCUUGCUCUGCAGCGUGUUCAAAAGCCUGCAGGGAUGCCCCAAAUCUGUCCCCUUUCUGCUGUGCCCUGGGCUGUGAUCAGCAGGAGAAACGGGCACUUGGAGAGCAAUAUUCAAUCUGCCUAAGGUCUGAGUUGCCUUCUGUGCCACCUUAUAUCUCUCCAAUGACCCAAAGGUUUGCUGGGUGGCUGUGAUCCAGGUCACCCAGACACACGCUUAGUGUUAGGACAAAUUUACAACCAACAGUUUGCACCUACAGUUUGAGACAAUAAAAACUGCAUCUGGAGCAUCCACACUACGAAAUGCUAUGCACCUGAAAGGUUUUUGGACUCCAAGUAAGCCACAAACAUGAAGUGUGAAUGGUUUACGCUGGCACUUGGUCUUCUCAGCAGCUGAAGAUGCAUAAACCAUGUUAAAGUUAACUAAACGAAGCUGUCAUAAAACUGAGUCCUGGUUAUGGGAACUGUAAGGAACUUAAACUUUGAGCUGGAGUGAGUCAAAUCUAGACUGCCAGAUUAGGGCGUAACUUCUCCUGAAGCCACCCAAGACACAGGUUGGCACCAACUGGGUAUCUGGCCCUAUCUGGAACUAUUUCAAAGAAAGCAAAUUGCAUUCAAUUUCUUAGGAACUGCACAUUACCAGCAUCCACAGACAGAAAUCAAAGCACAGCAUACUUCAUGGAGUGAAUCAGAGAGCAAAAGAAUUCCUGGAUUUCUAAGACACCAGGAAAGGUUUUGAUAGGCUGCAGUUCAUUACCACUAUUAUAAUUAUUUAUAUUUUUCAGAGAUCUCACAGUAUUCUCAGCACUUGGUCCAUCCGAAGUCAAAGUUCACAGCUUUUUCCAAACAAAGUACCCAUUAGGGUUAAUGCACAAACCUAAAGGCCAUCCAAAAGAAAAGCAGAAAAUCCAAAGAUGGCUCAGUUUGCCUCAUUACAGAGCACUUCCUGAGGCAAUCCUUUUCACCAACCGUUUCCUUACUAGAAAACGUUUGACCUAAAACAAUUUUAAAACUUUUUAAGUCUUACAACAGUGUAAAUCCUUUCUGAACCAAGUGAUUUUCAAUUGUGGGAUUUUUUUUAUCACUUUUAAAACUGUACGCAGGCCCAGAUUUAGUUAUCAUGGAUGCUACUCACAGAGGUCUGAGAUUCCCUCCAGGGGAGAAGUUGACUGAUAACAAUGGUGAUAUGUGCGAAGCACAGCACUGCUGCUGCCUUUGAGUACGACUUCAACCUCGCCUCGACGAUCCCUCCUUUGCGGUGGCAUUCCCUUCUUAUCCAGCUGCCAAAAGGAGAUCUGAAAUGAACAUAAUAAACAUUCAUCAGCUAUGGCUUUUUUUUUCCCCUGCUAAGCAUCCAAAAACAUAUCCGAGAUAAACAAACAAAGCAAAACACUUGGCCUGAACCAAAUCCUGGCUCCAAACAAAUCUGGAUAAGAAAUUUGUGGUUGAGAUCUGUCAUAUUAAACCCAGCGAAGUAAAUCUACUUCAGAUGUGUCCAUUGCUGUGAUAUCUGGACCCUGGACUCUUUAGUGUGUUGGUUAACGUCUUUUGGCAUCCUUCUGGAUGUGGCCCAAGGGUAGGUCUGUGCUGUGGGGUCAGGGACAUCCCAGUUGUGUCUGAGGAUGGUAUUCCAGUCCCAGAAACACUGAGCAGCACAAAGGAAGACAUGCUCAUGUUGGUUUUACAUGAGCAGCCUAGUUUCUGGGUUCAGAGCAUCUCUGUGACCUCAUGCCAUGACUAACUAAAGUCAGGACUAGCUUAGGGAACUAUUUCUCCCCAUGGACACGUCCUUAAGCCUGGACACAUCUGACUUACCUUUAGCAACCUGCCUGAGGUACCUGAGGGAGAGAGACAUCCCCGAGGCACUCACACAAUCAUCAGCAAUGGCAGUGCCUUUGGAGAUGCCAACCUCUCACCACCAGCCACAAAGCUUUAGGGUAAUCCAAGCUGAUGGUCUGAGCCAGCUGGUGCCUCAGGUCCAGCUUUCCUUUGUGCUGCCUUAUCCUGGCAGCUGUUUGGCUCCUACCCAAAUACACAGCACCUUGGGGAUCCCGCAUCACAACCCAGGCUUUCCAAGCAGCAUUAUCUACUAAGCCAUAAGGACAUGUGCAUGCUUUCAGUUCUCAUGCAGAGCAUCUUUCCUUCCCAAUGAUUUUUCAUCUAACUUCCAGAAAACACACGGGAUUUGCUGUGACAUGUGGGACUCGAGGGCAAGACAUCACUAAAAUCAAAGAGGGUGAGAGGCUGCAGAGCUCCAAAGGGUCUGCCUUGGCUUUGUAGUUUCCACCGAGUUCAAAUUUUGCCUAAAAGGAAUUAAUUAACAUUGGGCAACCCCACGGCGAUUCCUCAUCUGCUCUGGAGCAGAAGAGCCCAUCACUAUGGUGAUACGACAUUAAAGGACUGGGUCCAAAAUGUGAUUCUGGCAGGAGGACACACGUACCAGGCCAGAAUCCAAGCUCCUGGGCGAGCUGGUUGGAACCCUGGUGGAGGUGCUCCAGGCUUACCCUGGGGUCACUGAGACCAGCCCUGGCCUGCAGCCUUUGAGGAGAGCUCCGUCCUGUCGUGCAGAUGGCUCGCCUUCUAAUUUGGAGGGGCUGAAUGACUUUUCAAAACCUUUGAUUCCUCGCUGAUGUAUUCACUUCAGGAGACACAAAAGUACAAAAUCUCAGCAUGGAGUGACUCCCAUGCUUUCUUUUUCCUUCCUUCCCACCCCUGCCCCCCCAACGCUUUGUCUUUUCUUUUCUUCUUUCCCUGGACAGUUUUAUAAUUUUGGCAUGCCGCCAGAACGUCUGUCCUUGUUAGCUUGUGCUGGCUGUGAAACACCUGCAGCCCAUUAAAGCAGGGGGAUGAAAAA